Molecule: ribosomal RNA, 253 nt
Filed under: uncultured bacterium
Lineage: Bacteria
Description: partial 16S ribosomal RNA
Rfam family: Bacterial small subunit ribosomal RNA
Source: RNAcentral
UACGAAGGGUGCAAACGUUAUUCGGAAUCACUGGGCGUAAAGAGUGCGUAGACGGUAUGUUAAGUUUGUUGUUAAAGACUCUGGCCUAACCGGAGGUUUGCAAUGAAAACUGGCAAGCUGGAGGGUGAGAGAGAGAAGUGGAAUUCUCGGUGUAGAGGUGAAAUUCGUAGAUAUCGAGAGGAACACCGGUGGCGAAGGCGGCCAACUGGACGAAGACUGACGCUGAGACACGAAAGCGUGGGGAGCAAACAGG